AUGAUGCAAACAGAAAGUAUUUCUUGUACACGGGCCGGGCCGUUCCAAGCUUGUACCGGCGCUUCUUAUAAGGCGGAACAACCGGCACCCGUAAACCCGACGAAAGAAAAAAAGAAAAAAGCGGCGGCGUCGAGCGAGCAGCGAAGGCGAGGAACCCUAAAUCCCAAUCGGAAUCCUCAGGGGAUCCGGCGGCGGCGGAAGCUAGGAUUGGAGAGGCUCGGCGGGGAUCAGGCCAUGGCCACGGCGCUUCGCCACGCGGCGAGGAGGUUCGGAACCAGAGCGGCGGCGGAGGCGGAGGCGGAGGCGGAGGCUAUCAUUGAGCGUAGUCCGCUGUACACUAGCACACGGAUCGUCGAUUCCACCACAGGCCGUGACCUCACGCCCAAUCAGAGGAAAGAUGCCAUCUUCCGCUUGGCUCAAAUCCAUGCUCAGAAAGAGGACCUCUACAACACAAUCGCUGCCUGGCAAGCUGACUACACUGCUAAGGGCAAUGUAGUGACCCGGAAAAACAACCUUUUGCUCAAACAACUCUCUCAGCAUGUCAAACCUAGACCCGAUGACCCCCGCUGGCGCUCAAGUCAGCGGGCAGUAUACUUUAAUGAUUUCCUCAAAUUCACGGGGGCAGUUUUGAUCGGCAAAAUGGCAGGGGAUGCCUUUAGUCAGUACAAGGCAAAACAAGAUCAUGAUGGCCACAAGGGAUCAAGCUAG
Molecule: ribosomal RNA, 708 nt
Filed under: Triticum aestivum (bread wheat)
Lineage: Eukaryota; Viridiplantae; Streptophyta; Magnoliopsida; Poales; Poaceae
Description: partial small subunit ribosomal RNA
Source: RNAcentral